ACCAGACUCCUACGGGAGGCGGCAGUGGGGGAUAUUGCACAAUGGGGGGAACCCUGAUGCAGCGACGCCGCGUGGGUGAAGGAGCGUUUCGGCGCGUAAAGCCCUAUCGGCAGGGAAGAAGGAGGACGGUACCUGACUAAGAAGCCCCGGCUAACUACGUGCCAGCAGCCGCGGUAAUACGUAGGGGGCAAGCGUUAUCCGGAUUUACUGGGUGUAAAGGGGGCGCAGACGGCAGCGCAAGCCAGGAGUGAAAGCCCGGGGCUCAACCCUGGGACUGCUCUGGAAACUGUAAAGCUGGAGUGCGGGAGGGGCAGGCGGAAUUCCUGGUGUAGCGGUGAAAUGCGUAGAUAUCAGGAGGAACACCGGCGGCGAAGGCGGCCUGCUGGACCGUAACUGACGUUGAGGCUCGAAAGCGUGGGGAGCAAACAGGAUUAGAUACCCGAGUA
RNAcentral lists this ribosomal RNA (446 nucleotides) under uncultured bacterium. Its description in RNAcentral is "bacterial SSU rRNA". It matches the Rfam family "Bacterial small subunit ribosomal RNA", at positions 330 to 792 of the family's 1533-position model. The record is from RNAcentral.